Molecule: non-coding RNA, 91 nt
Organism: Mycena haematopus
Lineage: Eukaryota; Fungi; Basidiomycota; Agaricomycetes; Agaricales; Mycenaceae
Source: the annotation of a GenBank genome assembly
GCCACUGUGGAUCAUUGGUAGAUCGUGCUCCAAUCUUAAACUAUGAGUUCCAGAUCUGAGCAAAAUGUGGGUUCGAGUCCUACCAGUGGCA